ACGGAAGGCAGCAGUGAGGAAUAUUGGUCAAUGGGCGGAAGCCUGAACUAGCCAUCUCGCGUGCAGGACUACGGCCCUACGGGUCUUAAACUUCUUUUAUAGGGGGAUAAAGUGAGGCAUGCAUGCCUUUUUGUAGGUACCCUAUGAAUAAGCAUCGGCUAACUCCGUGCCAGCAGCCGCGGUAAUACGGAGGAUGCGAGCGUUAUCCGGAUUUAUUGGGUUUAAAGGGUGCGCAGGCGGCACGUUAAGUCAGCGGUGAAAUGUCGGGGCUCAACCCGGGCACUGCCGUUGAAACUGGCGAGCUUGAGUACGGAUGAAGUCGGCGGAAUGUGAUGUGUAGCGGUGAAAUGCUUAGAUAUGUCACAGAACACCGAUUGCGAAGGCAGCUGACUAAUCCGCAACUGACGCUCAGGCACGAAAGCGUGGGGAUCGAACAGGAUUAGAUACCCUGGUA
This 454-nucleotide ribosomal RNA is filed under the name uncultured Porphyromonas sp. Its description in RNAcentral is "partial 16S ribosomal RNA". It matches the Rfam family "Bacterial small subunit ribosomal RNA", at positions 341 to 792 of the family's 1533-position model. Lineage: Bacteria; Pseudomonadati; Bacteroidota; Bacteroidia; Bacteroidales; Porphyromonadaceae. The record is from RNAcentral.